RNAcentral lists this ribosomal RNA (429 nucleotides) under Bacillota bacterium. RNAcentral describes it as "Firmicutes bacterium partial 16S ribosomal RNA". It matches the Rfam family "Bacterial small subunit ribosomal RNA", at positions 355 to 776 of the family's 1533-position model. The record is from RNAcentral. Lineage: Bacteria; Bacillati; Bacillota.
UAGGGAAUCUUCGGCAAUGGACGGAAGUCUGACCGAGCAACGCCGCGUGAGUGAAGAAGGUUUUCUGAUCGUAAAGCUCUGUUGUUAGAGAAGAACGUUGGUAGGAGUGGAAAAUCUACCACGUGACGGUAACUAACCAGAAAGGGACGGCUAACUACGUGCCAGCAGCCGCGGUAAUACGUAGGUCCCGAGCGUUGUCCGGAUUUAUUGGGCGUAAAGCGAGCGCAGGCGGUUCUUUAAGUCUGAAGUUAAAGGCAGUGGCUUAACCAUUGUACGCUUUGAAAAGUGGAGGAAUUGAGUGCAGAAGGGGGGAGUAGAAUUCCAUGUGUAGGGGUGAAAGGCGUAGAUAGAUGGAGGAACACCGGUGGCGAAAGCGGCUCUCUGGUCUGUAACAGACGCUGAGGCUCGAAAGCGUGGGGAGCAAACAGG